Molecule: ribosomal RNA, 253 nt
Filed under: uncultured bacterium
Lineage: Bacteria
Description: partial 16S ribosomal RNA
Rfam family: Bacterial small subunit ribosomal RNA
Source: RNAcentral
UACGUAGGGGGCAAGCGUUGUCCGGAUUUAUUGGGCGUAAAGAGCGUGUAGGCGGCCAGGUAGGUCCGGUGUGAAAACUCGAGGCUUAACCUCGAGAUGUCAUCGGAAACCAUCUGGCUAGAGUCCGGAAGAGGAAAGUGGAAUUCCUGGUGGUAGCGGUGAAAUGCGCAGAUAUCAGGAAGAACACCAAUGGCGAAAGCAGCUUCUGGGACGGUACUGACGCUGAGACGCGAAAGCGUGGGGAGCGAACAGG